RNAcentral lists this ribosomal RNA (485 nucleotides) under uncultured bacterium. RNAcentral describes it as "bacterial SSU rRNA". It matches the Rfam family "Bacterial small subunit ribosomal RNA", at positions 11 to 507 of the family's 1533-position model. The record is from RNAcentral.
GUUUGAUCCUGGCUCAGGAUGAACGCUAGCGGCAGGCUUAAUACAUGCAAGUCAAGGGGGUAGCAAUACAACCGGCGCACGGGUGAGUAACGCGUACACAACAUACCAUAUACUGGAGUAUAGCUUUGGGAAACUGAGGGUAAUCCUCCAUAACAUUGCGAGAGGGCAUCUGAUUGCAAUUAAAGUUCCGGCGGUAUAUGAUUGGUGUGCGUUUGAUUAGCUAGUUGGUAGGGUAACGGCCUACCAAGGCGACGAUCAAUAGCUGGCGUGAGAGCGCGACCAGCCACACUGGAACUGAGACACGGUCCAGACUCCUACGGGAGGCAGCAGUAGGGAAUAUUGGACAAUGGGCGAAAGCCUGAUCCAGCCAUGCCGCGUGAUAGAUGAAGGCCCUCUGGGUUGUAAAUAUCUUUUAUCUGGGAAGAAACUCCUCUAUUCUUAGAGGCCUGACGGUACCAGAGGAAUAAGCACCGGCUAACUCCGUG